Molecule: ribosomal RNA, 253 nt
Filed under: uncultured bacterium
Lineage: Bacteria
Description: partial 16S ribosomal RNA
Rfam family: Bacterial small subunit ribosomal RNA
Source: RNAcentral
UACGGAGGGUGCAAGCGUUAUCCGGAUUCACUGGGUUUAAAGGGUGCGUAGGCGGACUGGUAAGUCCGUGGUGAAAUCCCCGAGCUUAACUUGGGAACUGCCAUGGAUACUAUUAGUCUUGAAUGUCGUGGAGGUUUGCGGAAUAUGUCAUGUAGCGGUGAAAUGCUUAGAUAUGACAUAGAACACCAAUUGCGAAGGCAGCAGGCUACACGAUUAUUGACGCUGAGGCACGACAGCGUGGGGAUCAAACAGG